This 1271-nucleotide long non-coding RNA is filed under the name Chrysemys picta bellii (western painted turtle). RNAcentral describes it as "lncRNA (ENSCPBG00000028194.1)". Lineage: Eukaryota; Metazoa; Chordata; Testudines; Emydidae. The record is from RNAcentral.
AAUUACCUGGAUAGUUUUGCAGAUUUCAAACAUCAAAGACUUUUAUUCUUUUCUAUCUCUCUAGGUAUUUAUUUGGCCUCCCUCUCCACAAGAGCUGAGCACCUCACAAUCACUAAUGGAUUUUGCUGGGUUUGUCUUGUUUCCUGCACCCCAAAGAAGUUCUGCCCAGAGAUUAAACGUCUCCUUUCUGGGAAGCGGUUUGCGAAAAUAAAACCAGAAUGUCUCGAAGAAUCCCAGAUCAACAGUCAAAGUGAUGAUUCCAAAAGAGGUAUUAUUAAAUAUUGCUAGUCAAAAUGCACAAUUAUUAACAAUGUGAUUCAUUUGGGGCGGGGAAGAGUGAAUAGACCUUGGUUGCAAAAUUGGAUUCUUAGCAAAAUGCAGGGCAGGCUCAGGGGUGAUUGGCUGGGAUCAGAGUCCCAGCACUCAUGAAAACAAAACUGAGUGCAGCACUUUAUUCACCCCGAGACAGCGCCAACAUGCCUUUCUCCGACGAAACACCCACUGACUUCAAUCUCUUCAACUCAAUGGGAGUUUUGCCUGAAUGAGGGCUACAAGAUUCAUCCCCUGUACGUGCUCUCAAGUAUCCCUGUCUAAAUCAAAAUCUUAACUGCAUCUUUAUUCUGAUCACAGGCUCCGUUUCAGUUAGUUCUCUAAACAAAUGUUAUUUGGACAUGUGGUGUCAUGGGAGGAUAUUGCAAUGGCUCCAAAAUGCUUUUCACCAAUAAGAAACUAGCAUUUCACUGAAUCAUGCUAUCCUGUAAUUCAGUUUGUUCUCAGGAAGCAAAAACUCCAUGGGGGAACAUGCCCAGGCAAUGGUAUGCAUUGUUUUAACCUGUGGAAAACAGGUUAAAAUUAAAAUCAGUGGCACUUCCAGCAUCUCUGGCAUGAAUCUUUAAUUGUGUAUAAUCACAGUGCAAUCUGUUGUAAUAUCAAUAGAUGGAGCUAGGUGAGAAAGGAAAGGUAUGGAGGGAAUCGUUUCUCCCAUGGCACAGAUUUAACUCUUGAUUUGACCUGAUUAAGGACAGAUCCCCGAUUUAGCUCCUGAGGCUUUGAAAAUAACAGAAGGAAAUAGCAAUAUGCAGCCCUGCUGGAAUUGGACCCAGUGGGAAAACAAUGACAGUUGAUCUCAUGGAAAAGUCAAGAGUUGGAGCCAGUUCAGACUUCAGAGCAAACUAGGAGCACAGGGAUUGGGUGCAGGGGAGGGGAAGUCUGACCAGGGAGGUUGGGAAGACAGCUACAGGGAGAGAAGGCUUCAACACUGAACCUUCAAC